RNAcentral lists this long non-coding RNA (1155 nucleotides) under Homo sapiens (human). RNAcentral's name for it is "HSALNT0072801". The record is from RNAcentral. Lineage: Eukaryota; Metazoa; Chordata; Mammalia; Primates; Hominidae.
AGCUCACUGCUGGAGUGGAUCUUAGAGUUCGUAGAGACCCUUAUUCACAUUUUUGACAGGAGAAUAUUUAUCUGACUUGUGAAAAUGUGUGCCAUAUAUGGACAAGCAUAUAAACAUAAUCAUUAUUUCCAUAGCCUUCUUCAUAAAUUUACAUCUGUCUUUUUCAAGAAAAAAAUGAAGUGAUACUGAAACCCCAGAGGCAUACAGAGACUACUCACAGUAACAAAUACUUGAACAUGCAUGGUUGUGAUCACCACAAUAUCCUCACUCAAUUUUCUCAUCUGGCUUCUUCAAGGAAAAAAGAAAAAGAAAAAAAAAAGACAUAGAAAAAUUAAUAAAUAAUGUCUAAACUUAUUCAGGUGGUAGCCCGAAUUGUAGUCAUUUUACUAUAACAUAUUAUCUAUGUUAUUAGAGCUGAUCUUUACAAACAUUGGUACUUGGUAUGAAGCUGUUUAUGUAUGGAAGGCUUUUAUUCAGUCCUCAUUAUUAGAAAUAAUCAAAAGCAAUAUGCAAUUACAGGGCAAGAAAAAUAGCAUAAAAAAUCUAUGUUAACUCUCCUGCUAUCUGUGACUAUGUAGUCGCAAACUUAUUCAGCAGAACAUUGUGCUGGCCUACUAUAUUAAUGAAUAAUGUUAAGUGGACCUGAGCAGAAAGUGGCAAAUUUCCUAGACAUCAUAGAAAGACACAGACCUGGCAGAGGAUAAGAGAAAAACAAAUCUCACACACCAAAAAACAAGGUCCUGUGAAUUUCUUGGAAAGAUAGUGGUCUGUGAAAUGUUGUGCUAUCCUCCUUAAGGUCCAAGACAAGUAGUUGCACCUUGCAUCUCCUGCCACUAAAAGGUACAGAGUUGAAAUGUUACUGUACUCUUCGACCUCGUUUAUUGCGUGACUUCAAAUAUUGUCAAUGUCAAGUGAGGACCAUUGUUAAGAGACUACUCUUAAGAAUAUUCAGACUCCAGGCCGGGCGCCGUGGCUCACGCCUGUAAUCCUAGCACUCUGGGAGGCCGAGGUGGGCGGAUCACGAGGUCAGGAGAUGGAGACCAUCCUGGCUAACACAGUGAAACCCCGUCUCUACUGAAAAAUACAAAAAAUUAGCCGGGCAUAGUGGCUGGCGCCUGUAGUCCCAGCUACUCGAGAGGCUGAGGCAGGAGAAUG